CAGAAUAAUAGUUGAUCAAAGAGUAAGUAGCAUAGUUCUUGACUUAACUGUUCUAUCUUUCAACUACCCAAGACCUAAGUGAUAGCUAUAAGCUCCAUGGUUCAAGGUAAUAUGGGUGAGUCUUGAGUCAGGAUAGUUCACUCUAAACCAUAGGAGAGUCUUUGUUUGAACGCUUGUGUACUUAUGAGGCGUGAAAGUAUUGUAGCAACUCCUAAUCUAUCACUGAGUCUAUCUUUGCUCAGGGACGAGCAAAAGGUAAGCUUGGGGGAGUUUGUUGACAGUAGAUAAGUACUCUUUUUAACCGUCAACAUAGCAUGAGAAAGGAUUAAAAUGAGAAUACUAUCUAGCUAUAGGGGUUAUCACUAAUAGAAUUCUACAAUUUUUGGUGAUUGUCUACUUCUGUAGGGGGUUAUCGGAAUAAGAACCAAAGGUGGUCCACAUGUCAUAUUUACAUAGAGAGAACACGUGAAAUGUCAAAUUAGGAAUACUCCAGAAGGCUCGGGAAGACACCGCCUAAAAUGUGGGGCCCACCUGCCAUACGGCAGGGGCGGGCGCCGCACCCUCACAAGGGCGGCCGCCCGGGGGAAGAAGCUAAUCAACUUUGUAACACCCAAAAAUUUUGAUUUCAAUUAAUAGGAAUUAAUUUGAUUUAAUUAAGUAUUUUUGUGAGCAUUUAAAUUUAGCAUUUAAAUAAAUUUUUGUGGAAAUUAAAAUUUAUCAUAAGCUUAGUAAUAUGAUUUUGUGCAUUCAUGCUGAGACAUACUUUAUUAUGUGUUAAUUGCUUUUGGUCUGAAGUUAAUUGUAUUUAAAACUCCUUUUGGAAAAGGCUUUAGAAAAUAGAAAAGAGAAUAAAAAAGAAAAAAAACCCAGCCAAACCCCUUCCCAGCUUUCCCCGCGGCCCAAACCCCCCACCCCGGCCCAAGUCGCGAGCGGCCCAGCUCGCCAGGCAACGCGCGCCACCCCUCUCCUUCUCCUUUUCGCUGACGGCUGGGCCCCACCCCUUUCUUACACCGCCAGCCGGGCCCCGCGCGUCAGUCUCCCCCUCCCACCUUCCUUCUUCUUCCCCGCCGUGACGCAAGCAAGGGAAGCUUCCUACCCGAGUCAAACCCGAAACCCCGCGAUUCUUUGCCUUUUUCGUGGAAUCAAACCCCUAUAAAUGCCUCAAGCCUCGCCCGCACUCCGUUCCUUUCCAACCGCGACGCAACAACGAGCCCUAGCCGCCCCAGCCGCCGCAUUUUGGAUCCCACC
This 1248-nucleotide long non-coding RNA is filed under the name Sorghum bicolor (sorghum). RNAcentral describes it as "long non-coding RNA (SBIC_LNC002547)". Lineage: Eukaryota; Viridiplantae; Streptophyta; Magnoliopsida; Poales; Poaceae. The record is from RNAcentral.